Long non-coding RNA from Podarcis raffonei (Aeolian wall lizard), 685 nucleotides. RefSeq lists it as uncharacterized. The record is from RefSeq and is a predicted model, not a curated record. NCBI's taxonomy places the organism in Eukaryota, Metazoa, Chordata, Lepidosauria, Squamata, Lacertidae. The transcript is spliced from 2 exons.
GGGGACCAUGUGUUGAGAUUCCUGCAUUGCAUGCGGGUUGAACUAGAUGGCCUUUGGGCCUCUAGUUUACAACUUUACAAUUACCGUAUUUUUCCGUGUAUAAGUCGAUGUUUUUUGUUUUAAAUAAUCUGCCAAAAAUUGGGAGUUGUCUUAUACACGGAUGGGGAAUGCACAGGGGUUACAAAAACACUACUUACCUUCCCACGGCUGCUAUGAAGAAGCUGCCGGAACUGCCAAUCAUUUCAUCAUAAUCAUAAAAUGUUGAUUUCUUAAUUUGGGGUUCAAAAAAAUAAGGGUCGUUUUAUACAUGGGGACACACAGAAAAACAUGGUAUAGGAUCCUGAUUCUGUCUGUUAUAGUUUCCCAUAACUAAUUCUUGCACAACUUAGCAGCAGCCUCCUCGCAUCCUGGUAGCACCUUGUUGGUUAUUCAACUUGUGACUGGGUCGAUAGGGACAAUACAAGGUUCAGAAUGGAGUUCCAGAAAGUUCCAGCUGAAAGAAAAAAAAGGCCCUGGAGCUUGGCAAUUCUACCUGCUUAGUGUUUCUAUUCCGUAUACAAACCACAAUGGCUGGUGCUUUGAUUUAGUUUGGUGAUUAAUAUUCCCUGCUUAUACACGUUACUACCUCCUGCUCCAAUUGUGAAGGCCAGUGGCCGCUGCAAAUAAAUCUUUCUCUCUCUGUGAA